AGGCAUUUUGUUUCUUCCCAGUGUGCUAUUGGGUAACACGGUGCUUCUCACCAUUAAUAAUCAGUAACAUUUUACAUCGCCUUCAUCAGAUCUGGUUGUCUCUUUUAUUUUGCACGUCAAGAGCAACUUUCAUCUACCAGAAGCAUAACUGCAUUGAUGUGUUGUGGAAACUGACUUCUUACUCCUGAGUUGAUAUGGGUUUUGAUAUUGAAUGCAUAAUCGACAUCCAUACCUAUCCUGGAGAGUAUUUCUGUCCUGUUUGUCGCACACUUGUAUUUCCUAAUGAAGCCGUCCAAUCACAGUGCACUCAUCUCUACUGCAAACCUUGUCUGGCACAUGUUGCCAAUGGGAGCCGAGCCUGUCCUUAUGAUGGAUACUUGGUGACAGAAGCAGACUCUAAAGCCCUUAUUGAGUCAGACAAGACACUUGCUGAAAACAUAGGCAGAGUUAAAGUGCGUUGUCUUUAUCACAGAAGUGGAUGCACAUGGGAAGGUUCCUUGUCUGAUUGCACUUCCCAUUGUUCUGGCUGUUCCUUUGGCAAUUCCCCAGUUGUAUGCAAUAGAUGUGGAGUCCAGAUUGUGCAUCGACAAGUGCAUGAGCAUGCCCUGAGUUGUCCUGGUGUAUAUCCUGCACAACAGACAGCUAAUGGUGCCCAAGAUAAUCCUAGCUCUGGUGCAGCCACCACUGCUACUGGUACUGACUCGAAUCAAACUACAGCUCAUUCAGGAACUUCAGCAUCACAGACACCAAUCCCUCAAACCACAACUGCUUCUCUGCUUCCUGGACAAGAUCCCAAUCAGCACACAAAUGCCAGCUCUCAGGCUCUUGCUACAUCUUCAGCUGGUGUGCCUAUUUCAGAGCAGUGGUAUCAGCAACAUUAUCAGCAGUAUUAUCAGCAAUUUGGUGGAUAUGAUCCUUAUCAACAAUACUAUCCUUAUCAGCAACAACCCAUCCAACAAUACCAGCAACAACCUCAGAUUUACAUGCAGCCACCAGCACAACCCCAGACCGCUGUCCCAGCACAACCUCAAUCCCAGCCCCAGCCCCAGCCCCAACCACUUAAUCCUCAAUCUCAACCUCAAAUGCAAGCUCUACCUAAAGGGCAAAAUCAACCACAGGUUCAAGCUUUGGCGCAACAGCAUCAAAACCAGGUUCAAGUCAACUCACUGCAGCAGCUCCCACCUACUAUGCAACCUCAUACCCAAAUUCCAUCACAAAUAUAUCCAGCUUCUCGUGCUCAUCCACCUACUCAGCUUCCACCAUAUUCGCAGACCUAUCCAAUGCAGCCUCAUUCACAACAACAUGUGCAAGUGGCACAGUAUCCGCAGCCUCCCCCCCAGGUUCAUCCCCCCUCAUCUUCUCAAGCUCAACCACAUCCUCCUGUGCAACCACAACCUCAUUCACAACUUCAACCGCAAAUAAACGUGCAACAUUAUCCACAAUCUCAUGGCCAAUUGCGCCCUCCUCAGGCCGGCCAGCCUUCUCAUGCACUGGGUCAGACCAUCCAUUCAACAGCCAAUGCAGUUUCAGGUUUCCAUUCCUAUCCACAACCCCAGCCAAUGCAGCAAGCGGCUAUGGGGAUGUCACAGCAACCUCCAAUGCAUCCACAUCCUACUAGUGGGUCUAUGCCUUCGGUUCAAACGCAUGGUCAGGUUCCUCAACCCUCUGUAAUGCGCCCACCUCCGGGUCUAAUCGGCAAUCAGCAACCGGGGCUAGUACCUUCUCAAGGUCAAGUUCCUGCACAAUCUCAACUUUAUCCUACUGCUCAACAAACAGGACACUCAUUUCAGCAACAUCCUGUUCAGCCUAAUCAACAGCCAAUGUCUCAACAAUUCAGUCAACAUCAUCCAUUUCCUGGUCCAUUUCCGAGCCAAUCACACGAACAAGGUCAUUUUACUCACCAGCAACCACCGCAGUCCCAAUUUCGUCCUCAAGGUCUUCCUAAUGUGGUGCCUCAAAGUUUGCAUGCGUAUAUUCAGCCACAGCAAAAUGUCACCUUACCACCUCCCCCACAAUCUCAAACAUAUAUAGGAAGGCCUGGGAUGCAUAAUCAUGUCCAGUCAGUUUCUCAGGCUCAUGGUGGAUAUAAUACUACAGCCCAGGUUAGACCUGUCCAGCCUGCUUUUAGUCAGCCGCAAAUGAAUCCAAGUUAUGGGAACCACACGAGCAAUGAGCACGAGUCAAUGGAUCAGAAGAAAUGGUCAGCCCUAGAAGGUAAAGGUGAUCUGCUACUUGACAAAACUGCAGGAAGGCCAGAUGUGGGAGUUCCUCCCCAGGAUAAUGCUCAAAAAGAUCUAAGUUCCCUUGCAGCUAAAUCAAUUGAUGGAACGGCCCCAAGAUUUGAAGCUGACCUAGAUGAUGAACAACAGAAGCGUAGGAAAGCUAUUGAUGAGUAUAGACAGAGGGCCAGCAGUGAUAUUGAUGUUCAUAAGGGUGAUUCAGAUGAGCUUAUGGACAAACGAACUGUUAAGGAAGAGGAAAAUGAGAUUUUUUUGAAGCCUAAAUCUGCUGCCAAAUCAGCUGAUGCAACAGUUAAGCCAGACAAAGAUUCCUGUGAUGAUGCUCCAAAAGAACUGGACCAGACUUUGGCAAACCAGGCAUCUUCUGAUGCUGCCGAUGGUUCAAUUAAGAAUCUGAACCCUGCAAGAAAUUCACAUGAUGCUGCCGUUGACACAGGGGUUUUUCAGCUGUAUGGGCAUGAGAUGCCACCACCAAAAUAUGGACCAUCUGCUCAACAAAGGCCCGUUGUUCCUAUGAUAGUAUCACCAAUGCAACCUGCAGGCCGUGCUUCUCAUGCUCAAGUUCCUGGAUAUCCCCCCACUGCAAUGAUGACUUCAGGGGAUGUGCCUAAGGCUGGUCAGACAUUGAAUUCUCAUGAUCAUCAUCCACAGUUCCUGAAACAGCCUAGUAAUGCCCCCCUUGGUGGUAUCCCUGGUCCAGGGUCUACAACACCCUUUGCUAGAGGGCAUGGUCAUUUUCCUCCACCAGGUGAAUUCCGAGAGGGGAUAACGGGAGUGGGAAGAGUACCGUUAAGUGGUGCUGAAAUUCCUAGUGGAACACAACACCCAGUUAAUCCAACAGAGGCUGAAAUGUUCCAAAACCAAAGGGUGAAUUGGUUUGAAGGAAAUCAACCAAACCCAUUUCCCUCGGGGUCUUUUGAGAAGGUUCCAUUUGGCCAACCUAGAAGUGUGGAAUCAUCUAGGGAUAAAAGGUUGAAGGCACCUAUGGGGGAGCAUUUAAGUCCUUUACCUGUGCCUCACGAUCAAGGAUCACGGCCACUUGACAAACCUCCUCGCGGAUUAGGAUAUGAUUCCGCAUCAAAAUUUGAGGCCAGUUCUGGGGUUCCACCUAACAGAUUAUUGCCUCCGUUUCAUCCUCCUGGUUCGAUGCAUUUCAAGGAUAGUGGAGAAAGAGAAGCACCUCUUGGUCCUCAUGACGAUGAUAGAAAAAGGGGAGGGUCUGGAUUUGGUGUGCAUCAUAUGGAUUAUUUGUCUGCCAGAAACCCUGAUGGGGAGUUAUUUAACAUUCCACCACGUGGAUUUGUAAGUCACUCAGGUUUUGAUGAUAUUGGUGGCAGAGAGCCACGUCAAUUUAUUGAAGGGCCUGGACCUUUCAAUUUACAUUCCAAUCUAGCUGGCGGUUUAUACUCUAAUGGUAGGUUCCAAAAUUUGCCUGGCCAUUCACAUGGAGUCGAGAUUGAUGGUCUUGGGGAUUUGAGAGGUGGUGAGCAUACUACCUUUGGCCGUCCUUUCAAACAUGUCCAGAGUAGUGAUCUGUUUGGAAAGGACGUGCCGACUCAUUUGCAUCGUGUUGAGCCUUUGGAUCCCCAGAAAUUACCAAGUCAUUUACGUUUUGGUGAACCUGCUGGCUUUGGUCCCUUUGCUGGCCGUGCUUAUAUGGGAGAAUUGUCUGGGUUUGGAGAUAUUCCUGGUUUUGGUGAAUCAAUUGGACGCAACAAACCUGGUAUGCCACGGUUUGGGGAGCCUGGCUUCAGGAGCAGGUAUCCUGUUCCCGGAUAUCCGAAUCAAGGACUUUAUGCUGGUGACGUGGACUCCUUUGAUAGACCAAGAAAGAGGAAGCCCAUGAGCAUGGGAUGGUGCCGCAUUUGCAAGGUUGAUUGUGAAACCGUUGAGGGCCUAGAUAUGCAUUCACAGACAAGAGAGCACCAGGAUAUGGCCAUGGAUAUGGUCAGGUCUAUCAAGGAGCAAAACCGAAAGAAACAGAAGACUUUUAGUGAUCGUGCUUCAAUUGAAGAGAAAGGUAGGACCAGAAAGGCAGUGUUCGAGAGCCGUGGUAGAAAGACUUGAGUCCGGGAUAGUAGAUAGGAAGUGAAAGGCGGUGUUUGAUGGUUGUGACUAAGCCUUCAGUCAAGCAUUUGCACUGCAAUGUAGGUGAUUAGCUUUACAAUCUUUCUUCUUUUUCUGGGGGUUUUUAUCCUCGCUUUGUCAUUUCAGGUUGCUGCCCUAUUGUUGGAGAUGGUUUGGAUUGGAAGUUUCUGUGGCAGCAUAUUUAUGGGAUAAUCUGAAGAAAAAUGAUUGAUGAAAAAUCCACUUGUGCUGCAUGAGGAAUUUAUGAGCUUUUGCUACGGCGAGUAGGGUGUUACUUUCUAGAGGCAGCAGGUUUGGUAUAAUGUGUUUGAUUCCAACAUCUACGAUACUGCUUACGUAUCAAGCUUGUCAAUUAGCCAUUAGCUACUCCUUUAUUUUAAGUUUAAUUCUCCUAUGUACAGCCAGUUGUUACUCCCAUAUCCUGUUUACUAUUGUUGUGGAGCAUUUUAGAUGAUAGGCUCGGUUACUUGUUCUCAUGCACGAGGUUAAACGUUGUACUCGUUAAAUUUUAACCUAAUGAUUAUUUAAAGAAAAUGGGAUACUAGGAACAAA
RNA transcript from Solanum dulcamara, 4880 nucleotides. RefSeq lists it as uncharacterized. NCBI's taxonomy places the organism in Eukaryota, Viridiplantae, Streptophyta, Magnoliopsida, Solanales, Solanaceae. The record is from RefSeq and is a predicted model, not a curated record. The transcript has 8 exons.